RNAcentral lists this long non-coding RNA (227 nucleotides) under Physcomitrium patens. RNAcentral's name for it is "long non-coding RNA (PPAT_LNC004377)". The record is from RNAcentral. Lineage: Eukaryota; Viridiplantae; Streptophyta; Bryopsida; Funariales; Funariaceae.
GAAAGAAGCGUACCAAUGAAUGUAACUUGCGAUCCUGGAGUUGGAUAGCUUUGGAAUUGAAGUUCAAUCACAAGUUGCACUUGAUUGAGAAAUCCUCGAAACUUGCAUUUGGUGCCAUCAAACUUCUCGAGUACGACAAUUCUUGAUUCUCUAACACUGAAAGGGCGUUCGACCAUAGGAGAAAGGACAUGGUUUGGUGCAGAUGUUGAAGUAGCUCCAACCAUUUC